This 7773-nucleotide long non-coding RNA is filed under the name Brassica napus (rape). RNAcentral describes it as "long non-coding RNA (BNAP_LNC002550)". The record is from RNAcentral. Lineage: Eukaryota; Viridiplantae; Streptophyta; Magnoliopsida; Brassicales; Brassicaceae.
UCAAGCUUCUUACAUCGCGGUUCAUCCUGGUUUGAUAACAAUGACGAAGAAGUUGUCAUAUUUCCAAACAGGAAAACUGGUUCACCUGAUUUUAAAGUGGGAUAGCUUCUUCAUCCUAACUCCUAUGAUAUUUAUUCAACUUCCUGGUGAUUCUCCACUACUUUAUGUAACCAUGUCAAGCUUCUUGCAUCCCGGUUCAUGCUGGUUUGAUUAGAAUGACGAAGAAGUUGUCAUAUUCCCAAACAGGAAAACUGGGAUCACCUGAUUUGAAAGUGGGAUAGUUUCUUCAUCCUAACUCCUUUGAGAUUUAUUCAAACUUCAUGGUGAUUCUCCACUACUUUAUGUAUCCAAAUCAAGCUUCUUACAUCGCGGUUCAUUCUGGUUUGUUAAGAAUGACAAAGUAGUUGUCAUAUUCUCAAACAGGAAAACUGGGAUCACCUGAUUUCAAAGUGGGAUAACUUCUUCAUCCUAACUCCUAUGAGAUUUAUUCAACUUCCUGGUGAUUCUACACUACUUUAUGUAUCGAAAUCAAGCUUCUUACAUCGUGGUUCAUCAUGUUUUGAUAAGAAUGACGAAGAAGUUGUCAUAUUCCCAAACAGGAAAACUGGGAUCACCUGAUUUUAAAGUGGGAUAGCUUCUUCAUCCUAACUCCUAUGAGAUUUAUUCAAACUUCCUGGUGAUUCUCCACUACUUUAUAUAUCCAUAUCAAGCUUCUUACUGUUGAGAAGAAGGCAUUAGUGUUGAAAUGAAGUCAUGAAAUAAUGAGGCUAAGAUAGAGUAAAGGAAAGGAGAUGGGAGAGUUGGAGUCGACCCAAGCCGUACCAUCCGUACUGACCGUACAGACCGUACAGGUUAAAGUCACCCACACCUCGACCAGAUUGAAGUUACCAUGAUCAAGUAACUUAAGAGGGAAAGGAGAAGUUACUUGGGGUAACUACUGGCUCGUGUGACCGUUUGGAGAGGAUAAGGAACGGCUUAGCCAGGCUGUGAAGAGCUGGAUAAGGCUAAAGGUGCUUUAUAACAAAGGAGAAGCUUAUUGGAUAGUUUAAAUUAAAGCAACUCCUUAUCCCUUACAAUAGUGACCAUUGGCGAACCCCUUAACCUAUCUUGUAGCCUCACUAUAUAUUGUAGACAAUCAUGAUUAAUAAAGCUAGACAGUUCUUGACACCAAAACUCUCUCUUAGACUCAAAGACUCUCAAGCAUGAUUAUACACUAAACUCUUAGCUAAACUCGUCCUAAAUCACCUUUAGACUCUUUCUAAUCUCUUUCUUUCCUUAUAUGAAACUCAGAUUCUUUAAAUCUCAUUUGGUAUCAGAGCCAGGUUCAUCAUAAUCUGGGUUUGAGUACUAGAACACUCAAGAACACGCUAGCCGCUUAGCUUUUAUCCGAGUGAGUCUGAAAUGGAAAGCAACAAGGCAGUGGUUCCGGUUACUCUCAAGGGGGGUAACUAUCUUUUGUGGUCUCGUUUGGUGAAGACUGCAGUGGGGAGUAAGGGUUUAUGGGGACACAUCACGCAGAGUGGAGCCCCAAAGCUCGUUAUUUAUGAAGGAGACAAGGAGGUUGUCGAGUGUGAUGAAGAGAAGUGGGAGCAGGAUUAUCAGCUGGUGAUGUCCAUACUCCAACGGUCUCUUGAAGUGUCUAUCCUGGAGGCUUACAGCUACUGUGAGACAGCAAAGGAUCUUUGGGACACGUUGAAAAAGGUUUAUGGUAACAUCUCGAACUUGAACCGUGUGUUUGAAGUGAAACGUGCUGUCAACAGCUUGACGCAGGAAGACAUGGAGUUUACAAAGCACCUUGGGAAGUUCAGAGCUUUGUGGUUUGAGCUGGAGAUGCUGAGGCCAGGCACAACCAACCUAGAUGAGCUGGCUGAGAGACGCGAGCAAGAUAAGGUGUUUGGGUUGCUGCUCACGCUGAAUCCGAGCUACAACAGCCUCAUCAAACACAUCUUGAGGUUCGGAAAGCUACCUGACCUUGAAGAGGUGUGUGCACAAGUUCAGAAGGAGGAAGGUUCUAUUGGUCUCUUUGGAGGGAAAGGAGAGAUCACACUUGCAAACCAAGCUGAGGUUCCGCAAGCAAACCGUGCAAGCUCUAACCAGUAUGAUGGAAAGAAGUUUACGGGAAACUGUGAUUACUGCAAGAGACAAGGACACAAGAAGAACCAGUGCUGGAUCUUGCAUCCUCACCUGAAGCCGGCUAAGUUCUCAAGAGAGAAAGAUGGGAAAGCCAAUGUCUCGUAUGCUGGAAGUGAGCCAGGAAGUUCAAGUGUGGCUGGGAGCUCAGGCCAAGCUGGAGAGAGCAGUGUACGUGAGCUUGGAGACAGCAAGGCUCUGGUGACUUACACAGCUCAACCAAGCCAUCAGAGCAUUCAUGAGCAUGAGUAUCUGAGGAGAUGAGACCUUGGUUCCCUCAUCAAAAUGCUAAAGGAGAAUGGUAACACACUUGGUACUCUUGGUCACUCUUUUGGCGCAUCAUAUGAACUGUGUAGCAUUGCUAGAGAACCUGAUCAGUCAAGCAUUGCCUAUAAACCUACUAGCAUACUAGGACAGUCUCAUAUUGCACACAACCUGUUUAAACCAUUGAUAGUUGAUUCAGGAGCAUCUCAUCAUAUGAUUAGUGAUACUAGUUUGAUUAGAGACAUUGAACCUACCAAUGGACAUGUAAUGAUUGCAAAUGGGGAUAAAAUCCCAAUUAGAGGAAUUGGCAAGCUGAAAUUGUUUGAUAAAGAAUCUAAAGCCUUCUAUAUGCCUGACUUCACAUCAAAUCUUUUAUCUGUAAAGAAAUGCACUAAUGAUCUUAGUUGCAAUGUUAUAUUCAGUCCUAAUGAUGUGAAGUUUCAGGAUAUUGAGAGCAGCCAAUUGAUUGGAAAAGGAGUUACCAAAGGAGAUUUAUACUUACUUGAAGAACUAGCUCCUGUUUCUGAUUACUUAUGCUCAUUUACUUCUGAGUCUAUGAUGAAUAAAAAUGCAUUGUGGCAUGCUAGACUAGGUCAUCCCCAUGUUAGGGCUUUAAACUUAAUGUUACCAGGUGUGGUAUUUGAAAAUAAGGAUUGUGAAGCUUGCAUUUUAUGCAAGCAUUGUAAAACUGUGUUUCCCAUUUCAUCUACUGUUUAUGACAAGUGCUUUGAUUUGAUUCACUCUGAUGUUUGGACUGCUCCUUGCUUGUCUAGGGAUAGUUUUAGAUACUUUGUCACAUUCAUAGAUGAAAAAUCGAAAUAUACCUGGAUAACACUAAUUCAAACCAAAGAUAGGGUUCUUGAAGCUUUUAAGAAUUUUCAAAACUAUGUGACUAACCAUUACAAUGCCAAGAUUAAAAUUUUGAGAUCAGAUAAUGGUGGAGAGUACACUGGUCAAGCCUUCAAGCAACAUCUACCUCAACAUGGGAUACUACACCAAACGAGUUGUCCUUAUACUCCUCAGCAAAAUGGAGUGGCUGAGAGAAAGAAUAGGCAUCUCAUGGAGGUAGCAAGGUCAAUGAUGUUCCAAGCAAAUGUUCCAAAAAGGUUUUGGAGUGAUGAUGUGGCUACUUCUUGUUAUCUGAUCAACCGGAUUCCAACUAAGAUUCUACAUGAUCAGUCACCGUUUGAAGUCUUGAACAAGUACAAGCCAUCUUUGGAGCAUAUGCGGAUCUUUGGAUGUCUAUGCUUUGUACUUAGGCCAAAGGAGUUGAGAAACAAGCUAGAAGCAACGAGCACAAGAGCUAUGUUUGUUGGCUACUCAACUACUCAAAAGGGUUACAAGUGCUAUGAUCCUACAACAAGAAGAGUUCUAGUCUCUAGAGAUGUAAAGUUCAUUGAAGCAAAGGGGUUCUAUGAAAAAGAAUCAAGAGGAGCUGCUGGAGUUGACAAGAGAGUCAGAUAGAGCGGCCAGCCUUAGAAGUAUUCUAGAGGGGCUUGGAAUACAUACUGCCCAGGAUCCGAAGGAGAGACGCUAUACAACAAACACACAACCAACCGAGGCAUCAAACUUAGAUCAUGGGGGGGAAUCAAUACCUGAACCGGCUGAAGUACAUGUUGAAACUCAAAGUCAAGAAGGCUCAGGGGAUCAUGAUCAAAGUGUGAUACAAGAAGAUGGGGUGGCAACAAGCCAUGAUCAAGAGGAAACUAAUGAAACUACAACGGAACCUGAAUCAGAGCCGGCGGCUGUGCAGCCAUUGAGAAGAAGCACUAGAGUGAGAAAGGAUAGUUCCAACUGGGUAAACACGAGAGUGUACUACAAUGCCCAGGCUGUGAAACAUCCCUGUUAAGCUGUGUGUUCUUUUGCGCAUUAUCCAGAAGAACAUUGUGCCUUUAUGGUAAGCUUAGAUGAGAGCCAUGUACCAAGGUCAUAUGAGGAAGCUAUGAAGGACAACGAAUGGAAGGAAUCAGUGGGAGCUGAAUCUGAUUCAAUGAUAAAGAAUGACACUUGGUAUGAGAGUGAGCUACCUAAAGGGAAAAGAGCAGUGUCUAGUAGAUGAAUUUUCACUAUCAAGUAUCUAGCAAAUGGACAGAUUGAUAGGAAGAAGACUCGGUUGGUUGCAAGAGGGUUUACUCAACCCUAUGGAGAGGAUUAUAUAGAUACAUUUGCACCUGUGGCUAAGCUACAUACCAUCAGGAUUGUUCUAUCUCUGGCUGUAAAUCUUGAGUGGGGCUUGUGGCAAAUGGAUGUGAAGAAUGCAUUUUUACAAGGAGAACUAGAAGAUGAAGUAUAUAUGCUGCCUCCCCCUGGUCUAGAGCACUUGGUGAAGAAAGGGAAUGUACUCAGAUUAAAGAAAGCUAUCUAUGGUCUGAAACAAUCACCAAGGGCAUGGUAUAAUAAGCUGAGCACAACUCUGAAUGGAAGAGGCUUUAGGAAGUCAGAGCUUGACCAUACUCUCUUUACACUCAACACACCCUCAGGUAUUGUUGUUCUACUUGUGUAUGUAGAUGACAUCAUUAUAACAGGUAGUGAUAAAGAAGAGAUACAAGCCACUAAAGACUUUCUUAAAUCUGUGUUUGAGAUUAAAGAUUUGGAAGAGAUGAAAUACUUUCUUGGAAUUGAGAUAUGUAGAUCCAAGGAAGAUUUGUUUCUAUCCCAAAGAAAGUAUGCACUUGAUUUGUUGAAAGAUGCAGGUAAACUUGAUGGAAAGACAGCCAAGACUCCCUUGGAAGAUGGAUACAAGGUUCCACAUAAGGGGGAGAUUGAAGACAGUCCACCAUUCAAGGAUGCAAAGCUUUAUAGAAAGCUAGUGGGUAAGCUUAUAUACUUAACCAUCACACGUCCAGAUAUUUGUUUUGCUGUGAACCAGGUAAGCCAGCAUAUGCAAGUUCCAAAGGAACAUCAUUGGGGAAUGGUGAACCGGAUCUUGAUGUAUCUCAAUGGCUCAGCUGAUCACGGAGUGUGGAUGGGGUGCAAUGGGAGUACUGAAGUUGUUGGCUACUGUGAUGCUGAUUGGGCUGGAGAUAGAGCAGACAGAAGGUCCACAACCGGCUACUGCACAUUCAUUGGAGGGAACUUAGUAACCUGGAAGAGUAAGAAGCAGAAGGUGGUCUCUUGCUCUAGUGCUGAAGCUGAAUACAGAGCAAUGCUGAAGCUGACUAAUGAGCUUGUAUGGAUCGAAGGGAUACUAAAGCACUUGGAGAUCAUUCAAGCCACGCCUAUGACCAUGCAUUGCGACAAUCAGGCUGCUAUACACAUUGCCACCAACUCAGUCUUCCAUGAGAGAACCAAGCACAUUGAAGUUGAUUGUCAUAAGGUGAGGCAAAUGAUACUUCUUGGAGUCAUUUUGCCAUGCUAUACGAAGAGUGAGGAUCAACUAGCAGAUGUAUUCACAAAGGCAGCAAGACAGAAGACAAUUGAGUCCAUCCAUAGCCGGCUAGGACUCAUUGAUCUCACCAGAAGAAGCUGAUCUCCUAAGUCAUGAGGUCUUUACUCUUUUUCCCUUAUCAAGGUUUUGUCCCAAUGGGUUUUCCUUGGUGAGGUUUUUAAUGAGGAAGAUCUCAUGACUGUCCAAGCUUAGACUUUCACAAAACUAAGCUUGAGGGGGAGUGUUGAGAAGAAGGCAUUUGUGUUGAAAUGAAGUCAUGAGAUAAUGAGGCUAAGAUAGAGUAAAGGAAAGGAGAUGGGAGAGUUGGAGUCGACCCAAGCCGUACCAUCCGUACUGACCGUACAGACCGUACAGGUUAAAGUCAUCCACACCUCGACCAGAUUGAAGUUACCAUGAUCAAGUAACUUAAGAGUGAAAGGAGAAGUUACUUGGGGUAACUACUGGCUCGUGUGACCGUUUGGAGAGGAUAAGGAAGGGCUUAGCCAGGCUGUCAAGAGCUGGAUAAGGCUAAAGGUGCUUUAUCACAAAGGAGAAGCUUAUUGGAUAGUUUAAAUUAAAGCAACUCCUUAUCCCUUACAAUAGUGACCAUUUGCGAAACCCUUAACCUAUCUUGUAGCCUCACUAUACAUUGUAGACACUCAUGAUUAAUAAAGCUAGACAGUUCUUGACACCAAAACACUCUCUUAGACUCAAAGACUCUCAAUCAUGAUUAUACACUAAACUCUUAGCUAAACUCGUCCUAAAUCACCUCUAGACUCAUUCUAAUCUCUUUUUUUCCUUAUAUCAAACUCAGAUUCUCUAAAUCUCAUUCUUACAUCCCGGUUCAUGCUGGUUUGAUUAGAAUGACGAAGAAGUUGUCAUAUUCCCAAACAGGAAAACUGGGAUCACCUGAUUUGAAAGUGGGAUAGUUUCUUCAUCCUAACACCUAUGAGAUUUAUUCAAACUUCCUGGUGAUUCUCCACUACUUUAUGUAACCAUGUCAAGCUUCUUGCAUCCCGGUUCAUGCUGGUUUGAUUAGAAUGACGAAGAAGUUGUCAUAUUCCCAAACAGAAAAAUUGGGAGCACAUGAUUUGAAAGUGGGAUAGCUUCUUCAUCCUAACUCCUAUCAGAUUUAUUCAACUUCCUGGUGAUUCUCCACUAAUUUAUGUAUCCAUAUCAAGCUUCUUUCAUCGCGGUUCAUCCUGGUUUGAUAAGAAUGACAAAGUAGUUGUCCUAUUCUCAAACAGGAAAACUGGGAUCACCUGAUUUCAAAGUGGGAUAGCUUCUUCAUCCUAACUCCUAUGAGAUUUAUUCAACUUCCUGGUGAUUCUACACUAAUUUAUGUAUCCAAAUCAAGCUUCUUACAUCGUGGUUCAUCAUGUUUUGAUAAGAAUGACGAAGAAGUUGUCAUAUUCCCAAACAGGAAAACUUGGAUCACCUGAUUUUAAAGUGGGAUAGCUUCUUCAUCCUAACUCCUAUGAGAUUUAUUCAAACUUCCUGGUGAUUCUCCACUACUUUAUGCAGCAAAAUCAAGCUUCUUACAUCGCGGUUCAUCCUGGUUUGAUAAGAAUGACAAUGAAGUUGUCAUAUUCUCAAACAGGAAAACUGGGAUCACUUGACUUUAAAGUGGGAUAGUUUCUCCAUCCUAAUUCCUAUGAUAUUUAUUCAACUUCCUGGUGAUUCUUCACUACUUUAUGCAUCCAAAUCAAUCUUUUUACAUCGCGGUUCAUCCUGGUUUGAUAAGAAUGACAAUGAAGUUAUCAUAUUCUCAAACAGGAAAACUGGUAUCACCUGAUUUCAAAGUGGGAUAGCUUCUUCAUCCUAACUCCUAUGAGAUUUAUUCAACUUCCUAGUGAUUCUCCACUACUUUAUGUAUCCAAACCAAGCUUCUUACAUCGCGGUUCAUCCUGGUUUGAUAAGAAUGACGAAGAAGUUGCCAUAUUCCCAAUCAGGAAAACUGGGAUCACUUGAUUAGAAAGUGGGAUACCUUCUUCAUCCUAACUCCUAUAAGA